CACGUAGCGUUUGUGAGAUACUACAGGACGGCAGUGUGUGAAGCGCUCAGCAGAGAUUCAGAGAUGAACUGAGCUUUACUGAUGUCCAGCGGCUUUACUGGAGGAUGGAGGAGCUGGACGAGAGAGAGAGACCUGCGGUGUGUGUGAAUCACGAGUAAAGCUGUGACAAACAGACUAAGAUGCAUCUGACCUGCUGAUGAGGUCAUCAGAAGACUCGAUGAUGUCACUUCCCAUGGAGCAGAACAGGAAGACGCCCUCGUUAAUGAAGACAUCGUUCCACUCAAACGCUGAAGGAGAAAAAAAAACAGCAUUAAUUUCUGCGUUUGCCACUGUGUUUUUAUUUAUACUGACUUCCACUGGAGAAACAAAACAGAUUAGCAGAUAACAGCUGAAUAAGUUCACAUUCACACACUCACACACACAAUCAAAUCUCUGCACCAAUACUGUAAUGACCCUCAGAAUCUCUUCAUUCGCCUGAUUUAAUAAUUAAAAGCAAAGUUUGCAAUUAAACAACAGCUUUGUAGAAUUUAAACCUGUAUGUUCUUGAGUAUCACUGAACGUGUGGUGAUUAUUAAUAAAGCACACAAUAUCUUACAUGUAUGUGGUGCGAGUAUGACUCAUGUUGUGCGAUGAUAAAAAUCUUCAUGUUUUAAAUGCAAAAUACAGUACGAGUUGGUUGUG
Non-coding RNA from Danio rerio (zebrafish), 681 nucleotides. The record is from RefSeq and is a predicted model, not a curated record. Lineage: Eukaryota; Metazoa; Chordata; Actinopteri; Cypriniformes; Danionidae.